RNAcentral lists this ribosomal RNA (253 nucleotides) under uncultured bacterium. Its description in RNAcentral is "partial 16S ribosomal RNA". It matches the Rfam family "Bacterial small subunit ribosomal RNA", at positions 524 to 776 of the family's 1533-position model. The record is from RNAcentral.
GACAGAGGUGCCAAGCGUUAGGCGGAAUCACUGGGCUUAAAGCGUGUGUAGGCGGAUCGUUAAGUACCUUGUGAAAUCCCACGGCUCAACCGUGGAACUGCUGGGUAUACUGGCGGUCUUGAGCCACCUAGGGGCAACUGGAACAAGCGGUGGAGCGGUGAAAUGCGCAGAUAUCAGGAAGAACACCCGUGGCGAAGGCGGCUCUCUGGGACGGUACUGACGCUGAGACGCGAAAGCGUGGGGAGCGAACAGG